CCUACGGGAGGCUGCAGUGGGGAAUAUUGGACAAUGGGGGCAACCCUGAUCCAGCCAUGCCGCGUGUGUGAAGAAGGCCCUCGGGUUGUAAAGCACUUUCAGUGAGGAAGAACGCCUGGUGGUUAAUACCCAUCAGGAAAGACAUCACUCACAGAAGAAGCACCGGCUAACUCCGUGCCAGCAGCCGCGGUAAUACGGAGGGUGCGAGCGUUAAUCGGAAUUACUGGGCGUAAAGCGCGCGUAGGUGGCUUGAUAAGCCGGUUGUGAAAGCCCCGGGCUCAACCUGGGAACGGCAUCCGGAACUGGCAAGCUAGAGUGCAGGAGAGGAAGGUAGAAUUCCCGGUGUAGCGGUGAAAUGCGUAGAGAUCGGGAGGAAUACCAGUGGCGAAGGCGGCCUUCUGGACUGACACUGACACUGAGGUGCGAAAGCGUGGGUAGCAAACAGGAUUAGAUACCCUAGUAGUC
RNAcentral lists this ribosomal RNA (465 nucleotides) under Vreelandella stevensii. RNAcentral describes it as "partial 16S ribosomal RNA". It matches the Rfam family "Bacterial small subunit ribosomal RNA", at positions 338 to 795 of the family's 1533-position model. The record is from RNAcentral. Lineage: Bacteria; Pseudomonadati; Pseudomonadota; Gammaproteobacteria; Oceanospirillales; Halomonadaceae.